ACGAAGGGGGCAAGCGUUAUCCGGAAUUAUUGGGCGUAAAGAGUGCGUAGGUGGUUUUUUAAGCGAGAGGUGAAAGGCAAUAGCUUAACUAUUGUAAGACUUGCGAACUGGAAGACUUGAGUGUAGGAGAGGAAAGUGGAAUUCCUAGUGUAGCGGUGAAAUGCGUAGAUAUUAGAAAGAACACCAAUGGCGAAGGCAGCUUACUGGACUGUAACUGACACUGAGGCACGAAAGCGUGGGGAUCAAACAG
Molecule: ribosomal RNA, 250 nt
Filed under: uncultured prokaryote
Description: partial 16S rRNA
Rfam family: Bacterial small subunit ribosomal RNA
Source: RNAcentral